CGGUGUUUAACUGGCGUGAUGUGGGACGUCCUACCGGUGGGCUUAGCCUCGCGAGGGGCGGCCCAACUAAUAUCCCGUCGCGGUGCUCUUUACUGAGUGUCGAGUCGGGCCGGUACGUUUACUUUGAACAAAUUAGAGUGCUUAAAGCAGGCUAUCCUCGCCUGAAUACUGCGUGCAUGGAAUAAUGGAAUAGGACCUCGGUUCUAUUUUGUUGGUUUUCGGAACCCCGAGGUAAUGAUUAAUAGGGACAGAUGGGGGCAUUCGUAUUGCGACGUUAGAGGUGAAAUUCUUGGAUCGUCGCAAGACGGACAGAAGCGAAAGCAUUUGCCAAAAAUGUUUUCAUUAAUCAAGAACGAAAGUUAGAGGUUCGAAGGCGAUCAGAUACCGCCCUAGUUCUAACCAUAAACGAUGCCAGCUAGCGAUCCGCCGAAGUUCCUCCGAUGACUCGGCGGGCAGCUUCCGGGAAACCAAAGCUUUUGGGUUCCGGGGGAAGUAUGGUUGCAAAGCUGAAACUUAAAGGAAUUGACGGAAGGGCACCACCAGGAGUGGAGCCUGCGGGCUUAAUUUGACUCAACACGGGAAACCUCACCAGGCCCAGACACCGGAAGGAUUGACAGAUUGAUAGCUCUUUCUUGAUUCGGUGGGUGGUGGUGCAUGGCCGUUCUUAGUUGGUGGAGCGAUUUGUCUGGUUAAUUCCGAUAACGAACGAGACUCUAGCCUGCUAAAUAGGCGUACCUUAUGGUAUCGCGAAGGCCCCCGGCUUCGGCCGGUGGGUUUUUACUACCAACGUACAAACAAAUCUUCUUAGAGGGACAGGCGG
Molecule: ribosomal RNA, 820 nt
Filed under: uncultured eukaryote
Lineage: Eukaryota
Description: SSU rRNA
Rfam family: Eukaryotic small subunit ribosomal RNA
Source: RNAcentral